This 2924-nucleotide ribosomal RNA is filed under the name Klebsiella quasipneumoniae subsp. similipneumoniae. RNAcentral's name for it is "23S ribosomal RNA". It matches the Rfam family "Bacterial large subunit ribosomal RNA". The record is from RNAcentral. Lineage: Bacteria; Pseudomonadati; Pseudomonadota; Gammaproteobacteria; Enterobacterales; Enterobacteriaceae.
GGGUUGUGAGGUUAAGCGACUAAGCGUACACGGUGGAUGCCCUGGCAGUCAGAGGCGAUGAAGGACGUGCUAAUCUGCGAAAAGCGUCGGUAAGGUGAUAUGAACCGUUAUAACCGGCGAUGUCCGAAUGGGGAAACCCAGUGCAAUUCGUUGCACUAUCGUUAACUGAAUACAUAGGUUAACGAGGCGAACCGGGGGAACUGAAACAUCUAAGUACCCCGAGGAAAAGAAAUCAACCGAGAUUCCCCCAGUAGCGGCGAGCGAACGGGGAGCAGCCCAGAGUCUGAAUCAGCUUGUGUGUUAGUGGAACGGUCUGGAAAGUCCGACGGUACAGGGUGAUAGUCCCGUACACCAAAAUGCACAGGCUGUGAACUCGAAGAGUAGGGCGGGACACGUGGUAUCCUGUCUGAAUAUGGGGGGACCAUCCUCCAAGGCUAAAUACUCCUGACUGACCGAUAGUGAACCAGUACCGUGAGGGAAAGGCGAAAAGAACCCCGGCGAGGGGAGUGAAAAAGAACCUGAAACCGUGUACGUACAAGCAGUGGGAGCACCUUCGUGGUGUGACUGCGUACCUUUUGUAUAAUGGGUCAGCGACUUAUAUUCUGUAGCAAGGUUAACCGUAUAGGGGAGCCGCAGGGAAACCGAGUCUUAACUGGGCGUUAAGUUGCAGGGUAUAGACCCGAAACCCGGUGAUCUAGCCAUGGGCAGGUUGAAGGUUGGGUAACACUAACUGGAGGACCGAACCGACUAAUGUUGAAAAAUUAGCGGAUGACUUGUGGCUGGGGGUGAAAGGCCAAUCAAACCGGGAGAUAGCUGGUUCUCCCCGAAAGCUAUUUAGGUAGCGCCUCGUGAACUCAUCUUCGGGGGUAGAGCACUGUUUCGGCUAGGGGGUCAUCCCGACUUACCAACCCGAUGCAAACUACGAAUACCGAAGAAUGUUAUCACGGGAGACACACGGCGGGUGCUAACGUCCGUCGUGAAGAGGGAAACAACCCAGACCGCCAGCUAAGGUCCCAAAGUCAUGGUUAAGUGGGAAACGAUGUGGGAAGGCACAGACAGCCAGGAUGUUGGCUUAGAAGCAGCCAUCAUUUAAAGAAAGCGUAAUAGCUCACUGGUCGAGUCGGCCUGCGCGGAAGAUGUAACGGGGCUAAACCAUGCACCGAAGCUGCGGCAGCGACACGAUGUGUUGUUGGGUAGGGGAGCGUUCUGUAAGCCUGCGAAGGUGACCUGUGAGGGUUGCUGGAGGUAUCAGAAGUGCGAAUGCUGACAUAAGUAACGAUAAAGCGGGUGAAAAGCCCGCUCGCCGGAAGACCAAGGGUUCCUGUCCAACGUUAAUCGGGGCAGGGUGAGUCGACCCCUAAGGCGAGGCCGAAAGGCGUAGUCGAUGGGAAACAGGUUAAUAUUCCUGUACUUGGUGUUACUGCGAAGGGGGGACGGAGAAGGCUAUGUUAGCCGGGCGACGGUUGUCCCGGUUUAAGCAUGUAGGCUGAUUAUCCAGGCAAAUCCGGAUAAUCAAGGCUGAGGUGUGAUGACGAGGCACUACGGUGCUGAAGUAACAAAUGCCCUGCUUCCAGGAAAAGCCUCUAAGCAUCAGGUAACAUCAAAUCGUACCCCAAACCGACACAGGUGGUCAGGUAGAGAAUACCAAGGCGCUUGAGAGAACUCGGGUGAAGGAACUAGGCAAAAUGGUGCCGUAACUUCGGGAGAAGGCACGCUGGUGUGUAGGUGAAGUCCCUGCGGAUGGAGCUGAGACCAGUCGAAGAUACCAGCUGGCUGCAACUGUUUAUUAAAAACACAGCACUGUGCAAACACGAAAGUGGACGUAUACGGUGUGACGCCUGCCCGGUGCCGGAAGGUUAAUUGAUGGGGUUAUCCGUAAGGAGAAGCUCUUGAUCGAAGCCCCGGUAAACGGCGGCCGUAACUAUAACGGUCCUAAGGUAGCGAAAUUCCUUGUCGGGUAAGUUCCGACCUGCACGAAUGGCGUAAUGAUGGCCAGGCUGUCUCCACCCGAGACUCAGUGAAAUUGAACUCGCUGUGAAGAUGCAGUGUACCCGCGGCAAGACGGAAAGACCCCGUGAACCUUUACUAUAGCUUGACACUGAACAUUGAGCCUUGAUGUGUAGGAUAGGUGGGAGGCUUUGAAGCGUGGACGCCAGUCUGCGUGGAGCCAACCUUGAAAUACCACCCUUUAAUGUUUGAUGUUCUAACGUUGGCCCCUUAUCGGGGUUGCGGACAGUGUCUGGUGGGUAGUUUGACUGGGGCGGUCUCCUCCCAAAGCGUAACGGAGGAGCACGAAGGUUAGCUAAUCCUGGUCGGACAUCAGGAGGUUAGUGCAAUGGCAUAAGCUAGCUUGACUGCGAGCGUGACGGCGCGAGCAGGUGCGAAAGCAGGUCAUAGUGAUCCGGUGGUUCUGAAUGGAAGGGCCAUCGCUCAACGGAUAAAAGGUACUCCGGGGAUAACAGGCUGAUACCGCCCAAGAGUUCAUAUCGACGGCGGUGUUUGGCACCUCGAUGUCGGCUCAUCACAUCCUGGGGCUGAAGUAGGUCCCAAGGGUAUGGCUGUUCGCCAUUUAAAGUGGUACGCGAGCUGGGUUUAGAACGUCGUGAGACAGUUCGGUCCCUAUCUGCCGUGGGCGCUGGAGAAUUGAGGGGGGCUGCUCCUAGUACGAGAGGACCGGAGUGGACGCAUCACUGGUGUUCGGGUUGUCAUGCCAAUGGCACUGCCCGGUAGCUAAAUGCGGAAGAGAUAAGUGCUGAAAGCAUCUAAGCACGAAACUUGCCCCGAGAUGAGUUCUCCCUGAGACUUUAAGUCUCCUGAAGGAACGUUGAAGACGACGACGUUGAUAGGCCGGGUGUGUAAGCGCAGCGAUGCGUUGAGCUAACCGGUACUAAUGAACCGUGAGGCUUAACCUUACAACGCCGAAG